This 449-nucleotide ribosomal RNA is filed under the name uncultured bacterium. Its description in RNAcentral is "partial 16S ribosomal RNA". It matches the Rfam family "Bacterial small subunit ribosomal RNA", at positions 29 to 523 of the family's 1533-position model. The record is from RNAcentral.
AGCGAACGCUGGCGGCAGGCCUAACACAUGCAAGUCGAACGAAGUCUUCGGACUUAGUGGCGGACGGGUGAGUAACACGUGGGAACGUGCCUUUAGGUUCGGAAUAACUCAGGGAAACUUGUGCUAAUACCGAAUGUGCCCUUCGGGGGAAAGAUUUAUCGCCUCUAGAGCGGCCCGCGUCUGAUUAGCUAGUUGGUGAGGUAAAGGCUCACCAAGGCGACGAUCAGUAGCUGAUCUGAGAGGAUGAUCAGCCACAUUGGGACUGAGGCACGGCCCAAACUCCUACGGGAGGCAGCAGUGGGGAAUCUUGCGCAAUGGGCGAAAGCCUGACGCAGCCAUGCCGCGUGAAUGAUGAAGGUCUUAGGAUUGUAAAAUUCUUUCACCGGGGACGAUAAUGACGGUACCCGGAGAAGAAGCCCCGGCUAACUUCGUGCCAGCCGCCGCAGUAA